This is a non-coding RNA of Schistosoma margrebowiei, 48 nucleotides long. Lineage: Eukaryota; Metazoa; Platyhelminthes; Trematoda; Strigeidida; Schistosomatidae. The record is from Rfam.
AUUUACCUGACGUAUCCCACAUAGGACGAAACGCGCAUCAAACUAGAU